AUUGAACGCUGGCGGCAGGCUUAACACAUGCAAGUCGAACGAGUGGCGGACGGGUGAGUAAUGUCUGGGAAACUUCAUGAUGGAGGGGGAUAACUACUGGAAUCGGUAGCUAAUACCGCAUACACUAGGAUGUGCCCAGAUGGGAUUAGCUUGUUGGUGGGGUAACGGCUCACCAAGGCGACGAUCCCUAGCUGGUCUGAGAGGAUGACCAGCCACACUGGAACGGAGACACGGUCCAGACUCCUACGGGAGGCAGCAGUGGGGAAUAUUGCACAAUGGGCGCAAGCCUGAUGCAGCCAUGCCGCGUGUAUGAAGAAGGCCUUCGGGUUGUAAAGUACUUUCAGCGGGGAGGCGUUACCCGCAGAAGAAGCACCGGCUAACUCCGUGCCAGCAGCCGCGGUAAUAC
This 406-nucleotide ribosomal RNA is filed under the name uncultured bacterium. RNAcentral describes it as "partial 16S ribosomal RNA". It matches the Rfam family "Bacterial small subunit ribosomal RNA", at positions 30 to 526 of the family's 1533-position model. The record is from RNAcentral.